UACAGAGGGUGCGAGCGUUGUUCGGAAUUAUUGGGCGUAAAGGGCGCGUAGGCGGUGCGGUAAGUCACCUGUGAAAUCUCCCGGCUUAACUGGGAGCCUGCAGGCGAAACUGCCGUGCUGGAGUGUGGGAGAGGUGCGUGGAAUUCCCGGCGUAGCGGUGAAAUGCGUAGAUAUCGGGAGGAACACCUGUGGCGAAAGCGGCGCACUGGACCACAACUGACGCUGAGGCGCGAAAGCUAGGGGAGCAAACAGG
RNAcentral lists this ribosomal RNA (253 nucleotides) under uncultured bacterium. RNAcentral's name for it is "partial 16S ribosomal RNA". It matches the Rfam family "Bacterial small subunit ribosomal RNA", at positions 524 to 776 of the family's 1533-position model. The record is from RNAcentral.